AGUGAACGCUGGCGGUAGGCCUAACACAUGCAAGUCGAACGGCAGCACAGUAAGAGCUUGCUCUUACGGGUGGCGAGUGGCGGACGGGUGAGGAAUACAUCGGAAUCUACUUUUUCGUGGGGGAUAACGUAGGGAAACUUACGCUAAUACCGCAUACGACCUACGGGUGAAAGCAGGGGAUCUUCGGACCUUGCGCGAUUGCAUGAGCCGAUGUCGGAUUAGCUAGUUGGCGGGGUAAAGGCCCACCAAGGCGACGAUCCGUAGCUGGUCUGAGAGGAUGAUCAGCCACACUGGAACUGAGACACGGUCCAGACUCCUACGGGAGGCAGCAGUGGGGAAUAUUGGACAAGGGGCGCAAGCCUGAUCCAGCCAUACCGCGUGGGUGAAGAAGGCCUUCGGGUUGUAAAGCCCUUUUGUUGGGAAAGAAAAGCAGCAGGUUAAUACCCCGCUGUUCUGACGGUACCCAAAGAAUAAGCACCGGCUAACUUCGUG
RNAcentral lists this ribosomal RNA (492 nucleotides) under uncultured bacterium. RNAcentral describes it as "partial 16S ribosomal RNA". It matches the Rfam family "Bacterial small subunit ribosomal RNA", at positions 29 to 507 of the family's 1533-position model. The record is from RNAcentral.